CGUCCAAUUCUCUUUAUUUGUUUUUUGCUUUUUUUCUGUUUUGUUUUGUUUUGUUUAAAGAACGGUAUUUAACUAUGUCCUCUCUUAUUCAUAGUUUUCGAAUCAAUUAGAGAAGCGAGGGCGUUUUUUUCAUCUGCUAUUUUAGGAAAAUUAUUGCCAAGAACUGCUUUAGGCGUUUUCUAGUCGAGAUCAUGUCUUUAUUUUGUUUGCCGGUUUGUUAUUGUUCUGUUAUUUGCUUCGCUGUUGUAUAAGUAUCGGAACUAGCAAGUUCAAACCCACUUCAUUCAGUCAAGAUUUUUGAUUAACGCUUGCACAGUAAAGGCAACCUCAGGUAAAACUUGCAAAGCAAACGAGUUGUUCGACAAUGUUAAAAUUCGCCGUACUAGUUCUUUUUUUGCAUUCCUUCAUUGUCUCCGACGGUAUGACGCGCAUCGGUCGUUCAAUGACGUCAUACAGACGAGACCGUCAUUUCUUUAAACCAGAAGAGAUGAGAAGUCYGAGAGCAACGCACGGGACAGGGGAUUUCGGUUCCGAGGAUUAUGAAGUAGGCAAUUCUCACGGCUACAAAACGAGGCUACAUAGCGGUCACAGGGCAGAACAGUUUGGCGCCUUUCCUGUUGUCGUGGUAACAAGUAAAAAAAGAUUAAUUGCCUUAAAAUUGCGUCAAAAAGAAAAGAGAAACAACUUUGUUGAUGAUGACCCAAAAGUUGCAGGUGAAAAGGUCUUGCGUAGAUUGGACGUAAGCAGAAUGUUUUCAAGAUACAAUAGACUUGCAGAUGGUCAAAAUAGAUACUAAGCAAGUUUACACUGACGGUUCAAAUGUGUAGGGACAACUGGUCAUUCAGGAAUGAAUUCACAGGAUUUUAGUUGUCGAUUGUUGUAUAAAAUAGUUUGUAGUUUCGAAUUGUUAGAAAUAAAAACAGUAAAGAUC
Actinia tenebrosa (Australian red waratah sea anemone) is the source of this 931-nucleotide long non-coding RNA. RefSeq lists it as uncharacterized. The record is from RefSeq and is a predicted model, not a curated record. Lineage: Eukaryota; Metazoa; Cnidaria; Anthozoa; Actiniaria; Actiniidae.